Molecule: ribosomal RNA, 253 nt
Filed under: uncultured bacterium
Lineage: Bacteria
Description: partial 16S ribosomal RNA
Rfam family: Bacterial small subunit ribosomal RNA
Source: RNAcentral
UACAGAGGUGGCAAGCGUUGUUCGGAAUUACUGGGCGUAAAGGGCGCGUAGGCGGCCUUCUAAGUCAGACGUGAAAUUCCCCGGCUUAACCUGGGAACUGCGUCUGAUACUGGAAGGCUUGAGUGCGGGAGAGGGAUGUGGAAUUCCAGGUGUAGCGGUGAAAUGCGUAGAUAUCUGGAGGAACACCGGUGGCGAAGGCGGCAUCCUGGACCGACACUGACGCUGAGGCGCGAAAGCUAGGGUAGCAAACGGG